RNAcentral lists this ribosomal RNA (1308 nucleotides) under metagenome. Its description in RNAcentral is "bacterial LSU rRNA". It matches the Rfam family "Bacterial large subunit ribosomal RNA", at positions 1105 to 2437 of the family's 2925-position model. The record is from RNAcentral.
CUUGGAAGCAGCCAUUCAUUUAAAGAGUGCGUAACAGCUCACUAGUCGAGCGAUCUGGCGUGGAUAAUAAUCGGGCAUAAACGAUCUGCCGAAGCCGUGGAUGUCGUAAGACAUGGUAGGGGAGCAUUCCAUGCGGCGUCGAAGAUGAGGGAUGACCCUUGUUGGAGCGCAUGGAAAAGCAAAUGUAGGUAUGAGUAACGAUAAGGGGGGCGAGAAACCCCCCCGCCGAAAGACCAAGGUUUCCUGAUCAACGCUAAUCGGAUCAGGGUGAGUCGGGACCUAAGGCAAAGCCGAACGGCGCCGCCGAUGGAAGAAUGGGUUAAUAUUCCCAUACUGCCUCAUGGAGUGACGUGGAGACGGAGAAGUGACAGUCCUGCCGGCUGACGGAAUAGCCGGUUGAAGGGUGUAGAUAUUGAUUCCCGUAGGCAAAUCCGCGGGGAGAGUCGAACCUGACAGUAUACCGAGUACUUGUACGAGGUAAUAUGGACGUAACCAUGCUCCCAAGAAAAUCCGCUAAACUUAUCCAUGCGGCACCCGUACCGUAAACGGACACACGUGGUCGGGUUGAGAAUACUGAGGCGCUCGAGUGAUUCACGGUUAAGGAACUAGGCAAAUUGACCCUGUAACUUCGGGAUAAAGGGUCCCAACGAGAGUUGGGCGCAGAGAAUAGGUCCAGGCAACUGUUUAACAAAAACACAGGGCUGUGCCAAAUUGAAAGAUUACGUAUACAGCCUGACACCUGCCCGGUGCUGGAAGGUUAAGAGGAGAUGUCAUCGCAAGAGAAGCAUUGAAUUGAAGCCCCAGUAAACGGCGGCCGUAACUAUAACGGUCCUAAGGUAGCGAAAUUCCUUGUCGGGUAAGUUCCGACCUGCACGAAUGGUGUAAUGAUCUGGACACUGUCUCAACCGUGAGCUCAGUGAAAUUGUAGUAUCGGUGAAGAUGCCGAUUACCCGCGAUGGGACGAAAAGACCCCGUGAACCUUUACUAUAGCUUAACAUUGAAUUUGGGUAAUUGAUGUGUAGGAUAGGCCGGAGACUUUGAAGCAGGUACGCCAGUAUUUGUGGAGUCGCUGUUGAAAUACGGCCCUUUGAUUAUUUGAGUUCUAACUCGCAGUCGCGAGGACACUGUUUGGUGGGUAGUUUGACUGGGGUGGUCGCCUCCAAAAGUGUAACGGAGGCUUCUAAAGGUGCCCUCAGGACGAUUGGUAACCGUCCGUAGAGUGUAAUGGCAUAAGGGCGCUUGACUGGGAGACUGACAAGUCGAUCAGGUAGGAAACUAGAGCAUAGUGAUCCGGUGUUUCCGUAUGGA